UACAGAGGUGGCGAGCGUUGUUCGGAUUUACUGGGCGUAAAGGGUGCGUAGGUGGUCUUGUGUGUCGGACGUGAAAGCCCACUGCUUAACGGUGGAACUGCGUUCGAAACUGCGAGACUUGAGUGCAGGAGAGGAGAGCGGAAUUCUUGGUGUAGCGGUGGAAUGCGUUGAUAUCAAGAAGAACACCGGUGGCGUAGGCGGCUCUCUGGAAUGCAACUGACACUGAGGCACGAAAGUUGGGGGAG
RNAcentral lists this ribosomal RNA (245 nucleotides) under uncultured bacterium. Its description in RNAcentral is "partial 16S ribosomal RNA". It matches the Rfam family "Bacterial small subunit ribosomal RNA", at positions 524 to 768 of the family's 1533-position model. The record is from RNAcentral.